This is an RNA transcript of Drosophila miranda, 1459 nucleotides long. RefSeq lists it as uncharacterized. Lineage: Eukaryota; Metazoa; Arthropoda; Insecta; Diptera; Drosophilidae. The transcript has 6 exons. The record is from RefSeq and is a predicted model, not a curated record.
CAAUCGCAUUCCUAGUACAGUUUCUUGAGUACAUUCGUUGCUAAAUAUGUUCCUGAAUUCAAGAUCCUGGCCCAACACGCGGCGGCCACUUGCGGUGUGUGUCAGCCAGUCAGCCGAACGGUAUGCCUCAGUGAAAACACUUUUUCCGCAUGCGUGAAAGGAGUACCACUGAAUGAUAUAAUUAAGUGCCCAACCAAUUUCUUUUGCACCGAUGGUGACUACACUUGCUAUGAAAAUGCUGACCCGGUCUGCAACGCGGAUAGUGCACCUGAAACAACCACCACUGUGAAGCCGUGGACUGCCGAGGAAGCCUGCCAGCAAACCACAAAAUCGGGCUUUCUGGAAAACGAAAAUGAUCCCACAUGCACUUCCUACUUGUAUUGUAAAUUCGCAACGGAUGGGAGUUUAGAAAUUGUCAAUCUCAAUUGCCCGACUAACAAAUACUUUGAUGCGUCCAUAAAAGGAUGUACGGACACAAAACCCGCUGGAUGUACUGAAGUGGCAACCACACUACCGACAGAUGAGACAACUACGACAACCACUGAAAAGCCUUGGAGCGCAGAGGAAACCUGCCUGAAUGUGACAAAAUCGAAAUCUUUUACGAACGAAGAUGAUCCCACAUGCGCCACCUACCUCUUUUGCUAUGUUGCAAAUGGAGCAGUUAAGGCGCUGAUCAAAUCCUGUUCAUCCACAACCCCAUACUUUGAUUCUACUAUAAGUAGCUGCAGUGCCACGAAACCAGACAAUUGUACAUAAUAAUUCCUAAGUAGUAUGUAAUUCUUGAUAUGUUUCAUAUGUUUUCGAUUAUAUUUUUGGUACCCGUUUGGGUAUUGUUGUACUUACUUCCUGAGUUUUUUUAAAAAGACUAACUUAUCUGGGCCAAUUCCAGCGAAAAUACUGAUAGUACCCCUUGUAUUACGUUCGCAUUAAAGUCCGUCAUAAAAGUUUAUAAUGGUGUAUAGAUAAAAGACUAUAUAGAUGAAUAAUUUCGGGUAUAAAAACCCCAGUGUGGCCUUCCAGAUUUGAAAGAUUUUUCCAGAUUAGAGAGUAGAUCAUCAUAUGGGCGAAAUUUAUUUGAUCGCUGCUACUGGUGCAAAGCCUGGCUGCGCACACAGCACCCGAAUUAGAUGACCAAACCGCACAGGAAUGAAGUGCCGAAAAGGCCUGCUUGGAAGUGACGAGACCGGGUUCAUUUGAAAAUCAAAACGAUCCCCCUUGCGGCAGCUACGUCUUUUGUUACAUGUCAAAUGGACCAUCAACGGCGCUGGUCUUUUUCUGCACGGAAAACUUUUACUAUGAUGCGACAUUAAGAGCAUGUACUGCCAAAAAGCCGGAGAAAUGUAUAUAAUAAAGAAUCGCCAGGGAUAUCGCUUUAGCCGCACCAUUUCAUUCAACAAUAAGCCAGAGAUUUCCCAACCUAAUAAUAUUCCCUUUCCAAUAAACACAUUGGUAUUCGAAG